UACAGAGGUCUCGAGCGUUGUUCGGAUUCAUUGGGCGUAAAGGGCGCGUAGGCGGCGUGGCAAGUCUGAUGUGAAAUCCCGGGGCUCAACCCCGGAACUGCAUUGGAUACUGCCAUGCUAGAGUACUGGAGAGGAGAUUGGAAUUUACGGUGUAGCAGUGAAAUGCGUAGAUAUCGUAAGGAAGACCAGUGGCGAAGGCGAAUCUCUGGACAGUUACUGACGCUGAGGCACGAAGGCCAGGGGAGCAAACGGG
RNAcentral lists this ribosomal RNA (253 nucleotides) under uncultured bacterium. Its description in RNAcentral is "partial 16S ribosomal RNA". It matches the Rfam family "Bacterial small subunit ribosomal RNA", at positions 524 to 776 of the family's 1533-position model. The record is from RNAcentral.